CGUACGUGGAGAACCUGCCGUAUACUGGGGGAUAACACUUAGAAAUAGGUGCUAAUACCGCAUAAGCGCACAGCUUCGCAUGAAGCAGUGUGGAAAACAAAAAGCUAAAGCUUUUGGUGGUAUACGAUGGAUCCGCGUCUGAUUAGCUAGUUGGCGGGGUAAAGGCCCACCAAGGCGACGAUCAGUAGCCGGCCUGAGAGGGUGAACGGCCACAUUGGGACUGAGACACGGCCCAAACUCCUACGGGAGGCAGCAG
This 256-nucleotide ribosomal RNA is filed under the name uncultured bacterium. Its description in RNAcentral is "partial 16S ribosomal RNA". It matches the Rfam family "Bacterial small subunit ribosomal RNA", at positions 112 to 354 of the family's 1533-position model. The record is from RNAcentral.